CAGCCGUAAACGAUGUGCGUUAGGUGUAUCGACGACCACGAGUUGUCGAGGUGCCGAAGGGAAACCGUGAAACGUACCGCCUGGGAAGUACGGUCGCAAGGCUGAAACUUAAAGGAAUUGGCGGGGGAGCACCACAACAGGUGGAGCCUGCGGUUUAAUUGGACUCAACGCCGGACAUCUCACCGGAUAAGACAGCUGAAUGAUUGCCGGGCUGAAGACUCUGCAUGACUAGCUGAGAGGUGGUGCAUGGCGUCAGUGACU
Molecule: ribosomal RNA, 261 nt
Filed under: uncultured archaeon
Lineage: Archaea
Description: partial 16S ribosomal RNA
Rfam family: Archaeal small subunit ribosomal RNA
Source: RNAcentral